CUUGACCUCGGAUCAGGUAGGGAUACCCGCUGAACUUAAGCAUAUCAAUAA
This 51-nucleotide non-coding RNA is filed under the name Phoma sp. NG-25. Lineage: Eukaryota; Fungi; Ascomycota; Dothideomycetes; Pleosporales; Didymellaceae. RNAcentral also lists the same sequence under 3 other names. The record is from RNAcentral.